This 316-nucleotide ribosomal RNA is filed under the name uncultured eukaryote. Its description in RNAcentral is "partial 18S ribosomal RNA". It matches the Rfam family "Eukaryotic small subunit ribosomal RNA", at positions 1470 to 1796 of the family's 1831-position model. The record is from RNAcentral.
CCCUUAGAUGUUCUGGGCCGCACGCGUGCUACACUGACCGGCGCAACAAGUUUCUUUCCUUGGCUCGAUAGGCCUGGGUAAUCUUUGAACGCCGGUCGUGAUGGGGAUAGAUCCUUGCAAUUUUUGAUCUUCAACGAGGAAUUCCUAGUAAAUGCGAGUCAUCAUCUCGCGUUGAUUACGUCCCUGCCCUUUGUACACACCACCCGUCGCACCUACCGAUUGAAUGGUCCGGUGAAGCCUCGGGAUUGCGAAUGCUUCGUGCGGACGCGAGAACUUGGCUAAACCUUACCAUUUAGAGGAAGGUGAAGUCGUAACA